AGUUCGGAUUGUAGUCUGCAACCCGACUACAUGAAGCUGGAAUCGCUAGUAAUCGCGGAUCAGAAUGCCGCGGUGAAUACGUUCCCGGGUCUUGUACACACCGCCCGUCACACCAUGGGAGUUGGAAGCGCCCGAAGUCUGUGACCUAACCGUAAGGGAGGAGCAGCCGAAGGUGAAGCCAGUGACUGGGGUGAAGUCGUAACAAGGUAGC
Molecule: ribosomal RNA, 211 nt
Filed under: uncultured bacterium
Lineage: Bacteria
Description: partial 16S ribosomal RNA
Rfam family: Bacterial small subunit ribosomal RNA
Source: RNAcentral